GAUGAACGCUGGCGGCGUGCCUAAUACAUGCAAGUCGAGCGAACAGACGAGGAGCUUGCUCCUCUGACGUUAGCGGCGGACGGGUGAGUAACACGUGGAUAACCUACCUAUAAGACUGGGAUAACUUCGGGAAACCGGAGCUAAUACCGGAUAAUAUAUUGAACCGCAUGGUACAAUAGUGAAAGACGGUUUUGCUGUCACUUAUAGAUGGAUCCGCGCCGCAUUAGCUAGUUGGUAAGGUAACGGCUUACCAAGGCAACGAUGCGUAGCCGACCUGAGAGGGUGAUCGGCCACACUGGAACUGAGACACGGUCCAGACUCCUACGGGAGGCAGCAGUAGGGAAUCUUCCGCAAUGGGCGAAAGCCUGACGGAGCAACGCCGCGUGAGUGAUGAAGGUCUUCGGAUCGUAAAACUCUGUUAUUAGGGAAGAACAGAUGUGUAAGUAACUAUGCACGUCUUGACGGUACCUAAUCAGAAAGCCACGGCUAACUACGUG
This 497-nucleotide ribosomal RNA is filed under the name uncultured bacterium. RNAcentral describes it as "partial 16S ribosomal RNA". It matches the Rfam family "Bacterial small subunit ribosomal RNA", at positions 28 to 507 of the family's 1533-position model. The record is from RNAcentral.